AUUAAAUAAUGUAGGGCUUUGUAGAGCAAUUGUAGGGAUAGCAUUGUACCAACCCCAGAAGCUACUGAGUUGCCAUUUUGUCCUGGUACAGUU
Molecule: small nucleolar RNA, 93 nt
Filed under: Peromyscus maniculatus bairdii (prairie deer mouse)
Lineage: Eukaryota; Metazoa; Chordata; Mammalia; Rodentia; Cricetidae
Source: RNAcentral